CGAACCCAGGGCCUUGCGCUUCCUAGGCAAGCGCAGUACCACUGAGCUAAAUCCCCAACCCCAAGCAGCCCCUUUUAUAGUGAGUCCAGCACGCCUGGCUGUUGCCAGGUAACUGUGGGGCGGAGCCUAGACUAAAUGCCUACAGGUUGGUAGCAUCAGGAGUUACUUCUGUUUCUAGCAUCUAUUCCUUUGGAUCCCAUUUAAAGGUAUUUCCUACUCAGUCGUUGGGGUUCAUAAGAAGUUGAGUGAUGACCCCCUUUUUCUGGAAAUAAGUUUCCCCUUCUUUGGAGUAUUUGAGACAUCACUCUCUUCCCGUGGAAGCAACUCUGCCUGUAACACUGCCAUUUGCUAACCCCAGUUGUUCUGCUCUGUUAAGCGGAGGCCACCAGAACUGUAGCGCCAUGACCGCCAUCCGGCUGGAUUUACUGCUUGUGGGCUUCUUCUGUCCCCAACUCUGUGGCCCGUGUGGAUUUCUAAAGACUUGAAAGAGCAGCAUCUCCCAGCUAAGAGAUUCGAUGUGGGGUCCGUGUCUAAGUUGUAGGUGCCCUCCAGCCUUGUGAAACGGUGUGGUCAUUUAGAGGGCGCUAUCGUACGCACAAGGUUCAAGCUAAAGACAAGGACAUAAGAAUUUAGGAGAUCACUCAAGGUUCUUUCGUGGAAAUGCAGUUGGAAGCCUGAGCUAAGGAAAACCACUUCGUUUACGGAGUUGAAAUAGUUGGAGCUAGCAGACCCGUGGCAGUCGUGAGACACACAACCUAGCUGUUAUUUUGGUUGUUACCCUCUGGAAAAUAGGUGUAUAAAGGACUGCAUUAGUGAGAAGUUCAUCUCCCACUCCGUUGUUUGACUAACUGGGCAUGCCUAGAUACAUGUGAAUGUAAUAAUGAGGGUAUCGUCUUAUCAAAGUGUCCCGUGCUGCUACUGUCGGCGCCGCUGCGGUUUGCUGCAGGGUCCCAGAACCGUAGUGGAGCAUGAACCCACAUUUGCUUUUGUGAGUUUACUCACAAAAUAUUUUAUCUUUCAUCAAGUUUUUGUGCCUUGUCUGUGGCCCAGUGUAUAGUUGAAGCCUUUUUAAGUGUGGUCUCAUACUAUGUAGUUCAGGCUGGCCUUGAACUCUGUCAUCUCACCUGCUCACUUGUGGACUCAGGGGCCUGUCAGCUCAGCUGGCCUUAAUGCAAUGCGGCUGAAACGGGAACUUGAGGAAAAGUCAGCUGGCUGGGGUUCCCAGGGCACAGGGGGGAAGGAAAGUUUAGCUGAAGUGGACACAGGUGAAAGGCUAAGGCAGAUUCGUGAGGGAACAUUUGCUGAAGCAGACACAGGAGAGCAGAUGUUCUGCUAAAGCAAGCCAGGCAAAGGACACAUGAUGAAGGAUUCUUUGCUAACAACACGCCAGUAUUGGUCUGCCUUACACUGCAUUUGUCCGAACUCCAUAGAGAGCAACACACCCAAAAACAAAACCAACAACAAAAACCAAAAAAAACCCUCGGGUGAUGUGCUGCAAUUUCUUGCUGCUUCCUCGGACUCUGGCUGAUUGGCAGAGCCAUGUUAGCUGAGACAGCUGCACGUGCUGAGGCAAGGCCUAUGGAGGACACGUGAUGUUUGGAGAGCAUAAAUAGGACUCAACAGUGACGGAGACAGCCUGACUUGCUGGUACAGCUAGCUGUACAGUGCUUGUGGGUCUCGAAACCACUGAUCUCCGCUUCCCUGAGAGAGGCACAGCCGAGAACUUGUGGUGUUUGUCCCGGACCCUCCUGCUGACUCGAGCUGAGGCUGAAGCCUGGCUGUCUCUGCUAGGUCAUGCCAUCACUGCUGAGUCCCAGUUGCUAUCCCGACUCUACUGAACUGGACUCCUGGUGUCCUGGAAGUGUUUGCAAGUGGAUGAACGCCUGAUGCUGACCUGUGAACUGACCUGCCGAUUUUUAGACAACACAGAUGGGAGUUGCUCCAAAGAAGCUUUCUAAACAGGUCCACUGUAUCCUUUCUUUUCCACUACUACCGGGGUGGGUGGUGGGUUACAAGGGAGGUUAAAGCAUUUAAGAACCAUCAUUAAAAGUAGGAGUUGAAAAGGUUAAAGUUACAUGUAGCUAUAAUGAUAGUGGUUUGUAAAGGUGUCUUUUAGGGAUGGGCGGGGGGUGGUAAUACACAUUCACAAGGCUUUGUAAUGUAUGACUUUGGUGUUUUUGUUUACUGUGGCACCAGGGCUUGAAUCAGAGCUUCCUAUCUGGUAGCCAUGCACUCUGCCAUUAAUCUAUACCCCUAGUAGUUCUUGUUUCUGUUUUUGUUGGUUUGUUUUUGAGACUAUUCAUUUAUGAGUUGAUGCCUAGGCCUAAGCUAGUCUUGAGCCUCAACUAGUCCAUAACUCGAUUAGCCCGUUGAUACUCUUCUGUGUCUGCCAUGUGGCUGGUCACCUCUCCUGAGUUGCAUACUGAGUGCAGGUAGGACAUCUUCGUGCACCUCACUCUUUGUCAGCGUUCCUGUAUUUCUGCCAGAUGUCCCACCUUUGCUAUAGGCCACUCAGCUCUUUAUUGACAAGUGACACUUUUACACAGUGCACAAGAGAUUGUCUUCCCCUACAGUGCAAGGCUUACAGGUGUGCACCACCAGGCCAUUAAACAUGUUCAAGUGUGUAAAUUUGAUGUGCCCUUUGGUCGUAUUUAGAUCCUUCAUGAAUAAUUCUUGAUGCCUAAGUCAACAGCUCCAUGCAUUUAUGGGUCAACAAAUUUCUGUUAAGUCUGUGGGCCUUCAGUCACGGCAGCUCCAGCAGCCUUGGGCAGCUGGCAGGAGGUAGCCUCUGCUUGCACAGUGCCCGCCCGUGUACUGGGUCUAGUGGUGCACGUUUGCUAGGCUCCUCCUGUGAUAGGGAGCUAUGGUCCUGCGUUCUCUGUACAGGGACAAAUCUCAAGAAGAAAGUGACUAAAGUUCCUUGCAGAAAGUACUUGGUUCAGAAGUAGACAGCCUCAAAGAGUAUCCAAGUUGGGCUACACUUACUGUCAAAUAUGGUGGAGAUAAGACUUGGCUAGCUGUAAUUAGGCAAGUUAAAAUUGUGGUUGAUUCUUGAUGGACUCACUGGAAAUAGGUCUGGAAACUUAGGUGGUCACAUAUAAAACAUGGGGUGAGCUCCUUCAUACCAGAUUGUCCAGGAUUGGGAGCAGAGGCCUCUGGUUAGUCUUCAGCACUGAUAGAGCUGCAUGCAGACUGGACCUCUCAUCUGGUGACGAGUGGGGAAUGUCAGGUAGUGCUCUAGAUUUUCCAGAUUGCUGAAAAGAUGAGCUGAGUCUGUCCUAAAGCACAGACCCAAGGCAGCAUUCGUACUGAGUGGUCCUGGAAACCUGGAGAGCAGCCCCCUUUAUGUGGGACUCAAGAUGUAUUUUCCAGUAAUGAACCUAACUUUUAAGAAUCCAGUCUAACUGCUGAAGAUGUGAAUGUAUGGGGUGUGUGUGUAGUGUGUGCACAUGUGUGCAGUAAAUGAUUUUUUCAUUUAAAAAUUCCCACUUCCACCAACUAUGGAGAGAAAUAAUAGGAAAACACAUGUUAUUUAAUUAUGAUUAAUUUCAAUUUCAGUAGAAUCCCAGCUAGAUGUUACAAUUUAUAGCUUUUUAGACAGAGACAUGGCAAAGGCUUUAAAUAAAUCUGUAGGACUUCAUAAUCUCUUCAAACUAUAUUUCUGAUCCUCAAUAAUAAAAUGCUAUUCCAAGCCUAUGAUAAAAACUUUGCCAAUAUCCUUCCUUGGUCAGAAUCCAAGUUUGUUCUGCCAUCCUAUGAAAGUACAUGUGGCUACCAAAAUUUCUUCUUCACAGUACUUAGAUAUUUGAGCUGGAUCUCUAUGGGGGUUGGGGAGUAAGUAAGGUGAUGUUUUUAUAUGCUCUUGUGUUUAGCUUGGAGCCUAAUUUGGGAGAAGCGUGCUCUCUGGAUGAGUUGGCAGAGGAAGCCAGUUGGUUAACAGAGAUAAGAGCAGCAACCCUGGGUUAAACAAGAAUUGCCACAGCCUCAGUAUUGUGUAAUAGGACGGAGGAAAUGCUAAGGCUGUCAGACAUUUUUGCUCCUCCAAAAGUGAGUACUGUUACAGCUGCUAGUGACCAAGAAGUAACCAACAGCCUGAGGAGACUGGUUUGGAGUAGGAGACAAGGUAAUCAUUAGUGAACACAGCAAUUUCUACUGCAGAGGAGGAAUCUGGAGAGAUCAAGAAGGUUCCCUCUCAUAGAGUGGUUCUCAACCUUCCUAAUGCUUCAACCCUUUAAGUUCCUAAGGUUGUAGUGACCUCAACCAUAAAUGAUUUCAUUGCUACUUCAUAACUGUAAUUUUGCUAGUUAUGAAUUGUAAGUAUCUGAAAUGCAGGCUCUGAUAUACAACCCCUUUGAAAGGGUCUUUCAACUCCCCGAAGGGGUCAUGACUCAUGGGUUGAGAACCACUGCUCAAUAGGUCGAACAUAUUUGUUUUUUAUCAUAGCAGUUAUCUUAAAUAAGAAGAUGAUAGAGUACAUAAAUAAAAUGGAAUAUUGCUCAACUCUAAAGAAAAUGAAAUCACAAAAUUUGCUGGGAAAUGCAUGAACUUCGAAUGUACAUUAUGCAAGAACACCCAGUCUCAGAAAGAGAAACACAUGCUCUACCUCAUAUGGAUCCUAGCCUAUAAUGUACACAUGUAGACUGAUGGUGAGUGUAUGUAGUAAGGAAAACGGGGCCGGUCGGUCGUGUUAGAUGACAAGGACAGAAUACAGGUAAAUGACACGUGGGUUGUGAAAGAGUACUGAGCUGAUUUUUUUUCUAGUUUUUACCCUGUCGUGAAUUCUAUGUGAUGGAUAAGUGCAUUAAAAUGUAGUCUAUAGAAGUUCGUGGCUUCAGGAGGACUGUUCCAACUGAGUUCAUUGAGAUGCAUAAACUUUGGGUCUGUACAAGUGCUUGUUUGAAUGGCUGUGUUAAUGUAGCUAGAUGAUGUCUUUUAUUUGCAAGUUCUUUACAAUAAAGUGAUUUAUAAAGAGAGAUGAAAUAGUCUUAAGUCUUUACAUAAAAAGAAAUAGAACCAAAACUGUAUCUAUGAUUGUGUGUUUUAAGAAAAGAUGUAUGCUGACUUUUUUCUUCCUUAUAAUAAAUUUGUCAAAGACACUUUCAGAAAUAAGUUAAUUAUAUUAGAUGUCAACAUGGCCACAGAGCUGCUAAGGCAACUAACUAAUCAGAAUUACAGACCUUUAAGUCGUGUUAUUUUCGUAGGAUAUAACAACAUCAAAUUCAGGUACAAAUUCAUCAAAGACAAGACUUCUUGGUUUGGAAGACUAGGAAGGGCCAUCUUAAAGAAAGUGAGCCUCUCUGCUCUUUGUGGCUGUUGGGAAGUGGGAAUACUCAGUGUUUUUAUCUUGCUUUCCCUCCCCCCUCUUUGUUAUUAGUUUGAGUGCAUAAAUAUUAGCAUCAAGAGGGAAGACGAGGUCAGAGUGGCAGAGGGAUGGCGUUGACAGGCACAGAAUGGCUUGCAAUGCCUGUUUUUGUAAGAACUCAGUAAGCAAAAUUAUCUCAGGCUGAGAUGUCUCACGCUAUUCAGAGAAGGCCGGCUUUAGUGACAUGUGUCUUGAAUCAUCUGUGUCUAGAUUUGGGGGCAGUUUUUGAUCUUCUGAGGUCUAAUUUACAGCUGCAGAUACUUGUGACUUUGUGUUUGUCCUCCCCAUCCCUUAACCCCCACACCUCAAAUUAUUAUAAGUUCAGUCUUUCAUAUGUUUUCUAAAAAUGGGAAAGUGUUAGAAGUUGUUUUCAGCGCCAUGGGACAUACGUGAGAGUGUGUUUCUUAAAUUAUCAAGUUGGUGUUUCUUAUCUGUUUAUAAGUGUUGAAGGAAGAUUAGGCAGUUACAUUACUUUGGAAAAUAAUAAGUAAAACUCCACCUAUUUUCUACAAAACUUAUCAAGGCAUUUAACAUCCCCUUAACUGUAACUGUUUAAUAUGCUCAUCCUUAUAGGACACGAAUAAAAUUAAACACAUCAAAAACAAAAAGCAUCCCCUCCUUUACUGGGAUGGCCUCAGCUCAUCCCUUAUAAUCACUGCAUGUAGCCAAUAUGAUAAACAUAUUCUUACCCUUAAAUAGGUUAAUAUAAACCUAAUAACCCUUGGAUGUCCAGUUCUCAGAUCUAAUAAGUUUCUGUUUGCAGAAAUUGACUAUUAUGGAAAAUCAUACAUUUUCUACUCAAUAAGGGUAAUGUUUUAUUUAUAUGUGUGUAGUACUUUGCCUGCAUGUAUGUCUGCACCUCUGUGUGCCUGAUACCUAAGGAAGCCAGACGAUGGUAUCGGAUUCCCUGGAACCAGAGUUAGAGACGGCUUUGAGCCACUCUGUGGGUCCUGGAAAUUGAGCCCAACUCUUCCAGAGGACUGGGGCUCAAUUUCCAGCACCCACAUAUGGCUCAUAGCCGUCUCUAACUCCAGUUCCAGGUACAUGAAUUAUACUACCGUUUGAUGACCCGUAUAGGAAAGUAUGAAAAUGUUAUUAAAACAUCCCCCUUUCUGCAUAACUUUAUGAGACUUCCCCGUGUAAAAGAAAAGCUCGAACAAAGUUUGAUAGAUUUAAAGUUUUCCUAAUAGAAAUUGUAAUGUCCCUGCUUGAAGACAUUUUAAAAUAGAAGAUAUUCACAGUGAGUCAGCCUUGUGAACAACCAGAUGUUUUCUUCUGUGUGAAAGGGCUUGACAUGUGGUAGGAUGCCCACUCUAACUAAGGAUAGAGAAGCCCGAAAGCUCUGUUAGACCUGUCUGAGACUUGCCCUCUUUCCCUUAUGGGUGAUAAUCUCGGCAUUCCCUGUUGCUGUCCAAAGGACCUUUUCUGCAGUCUGCUCUGCCCCGUUUCACACACAGGAGUGCAUGAAAAAGGAUGGCAUUGUCACAUAUCAUUUCAUAUAACUCUAAGCAUAUGCCUGCCUUUUUAAAUUAUUACUUAUGCACAGCUGCUGAAAAUUGGUGUCGUGCCAUAGGUUGGAAGUAGGAGGUGAUUUGUCACACACAAUGUCCAAAAGCCAGCAGCGGAGCGGGCCACUGGAAAUGGGGUUCCAUUUCUGGAGUAAGGAGAAAGGUUGGAUGAGGGGGGAAAUGGUGAAAAAUGCAGUUCAGAAGACUGGACUGAACAAGAUUCAUACCACAGAUCCCUUCUAAUCAUACUUGCAGACACAGCCCAUGUUCAGUCUCCUCCUUUCCCCCCUCCCCCGCCACGUACACACACACACACACACACACACACACACACACACACACACACGUUUUUAAUCCUUUAAGUUGCUUUGAAAGUAAGAUCAAGAGAGGUUAAUAUGGUUGUCUUGACAACAGCAGGUUAGACCUGGGAAGUGAGUUGGCUCUGUGCCGCUGUCGUAUGUUCUCUUGUCUCAGGUUACAUCAGACACACUAAUUUAUGGCACGCUAAUUGCAUGGGUACACUUCUCUAAUAGAAAGGUCAAUAUAAAGAUUUCAAGGACUCCUCUGGCCCCUCCCAUCGAGUAGUAACAUCCACUGACUAGUUGUAUGUUCCCUUGGCCAUUUUCUCUUCUGCUCAUGCAAUCUCUAGCGUGUGUACACAUCCGUAUAUCAUCAUUGCGUGAGUACAUGUAUGUGUAUGCUAUGUUGAUAAUUUUUGACUAAUGUUUUCUUUAACUAUACCUGGUUUGUGUGAACAUGAAUAGAGUAUUUUUAACACUCGGCAAGCGGGAAAGCCCUGCUGCUUACCCUCCUCUCGUAGCUUCAUUUGAUACUUUACUGUUUAUGCAUUCAAUGCCCACUGCAGACUACCUUCAAGAAGUUUCUACUUGAAAAUUGAAAGUGUACAAAAAUAGUAUCAGGCUCUUUAUUAAAACCGUGAAGGAGUCUUUCUGUGGUAUAUCGCCUUUGCUAGGAGAUGGGCCGCACGGGAAAGGAUUCUAAGUACAUGCGCACCUCUCCAGUGUCUGUCUGUGCACAUUUGUUUAUGUUAAAGGCAUUUUGCCUUGACACCUGUUGACCCUGUCUGCACUUCUAAGACACCAAGCUCUCCAGUGUCUUAAUAAAGUUAAGGCUUCGCUUGAAUGGACACGUCAGUCUGCUAUGCUUUCCCUGUGAAUUUCAAGGCAGGGCUGAAGGAAUCAAGUGUGUGUGCAAAAUAAGCCACAGCUGUCAGUCAUCCACCAUGUUUUAAGUGUAAGAAAGAGACAUGUAUUUGUUUUAUAGUUGGCAUGGAUACAAGCAGGAAUGAGAAAUGUCAAGAAUUCACGGCAUUUAUGAUUAUGAUUAGUUAGUUGAAUCUAAGCACCUCUAGAUCCAGUCGUGGAUCAUGUGACUUUUCCAUAAAAAUAUCAAGCAUAGAUUCUGACUAGCAGUGUGCACAGAGCUCCCCUGCCAGGCAGUUAAGGUGGCAGUGUCCAGAAAGGCCUCCCUCGUGCCCGGCGAUCACGAUUGGUAGUUAUUUCAGUCAUUCACACAUUUCUCAUUUGCUCUGGCAGACAAGGAGCAAGCUUAGGUUUUUUUUUUUUUCAAUAUGAUCAAACCCUGGCACUGAAGUGCUUUUAUAAUUACUGCAAUUUAUAAUUUUAGCAAUAAUUACUAAGUACACAAGAAUUGUCUAAAAAUAAAAUAAAGAUUCUUAAUCUUGUUAACUCUAAUACUGGCUUGCUUAGAGAUGUAGAGUGAGCGGUUUUAUAUUCUAGCCUUAUUUCUCCCAAGGUGGGCUAAGAUUUGUCAUACAUAGCGUUACGCUGUCUGAAAACCCCAGGUCAGUGCUGCGCUGUUUGAAGUGGUAACUAUGCAGAGUGUAUCCCAGAAUGACAUAGUUUAGAAUGAAAGUAGUUAAGAAUUUAAAAGUAUCUUUUUUUUUCUAUAAAUGAUAUGGAUGUAAUAGUAAUCUUUUCAAAACUAAAUAAAGGUCUUUAUGUUUCUUGGAGAAAACUA
Molecule: long non-coding RNA, 8871 nt
Organism: Rattus norvegicus (Norway rat)
Lineage: Eukaryota; Metazoa; Chordata; Mammalia; Rodentia; Muridae
Source: Ensembl